GACGAACGCUGGCGGCGUGCUUAACACAUGCAAGUCGAACGCUGAAGCUCAGCUUUUGUUGGGUGGAUGAGUGGCGAACGGGUGAGUAACACGUGAGUAACCUGCCCCCUUCUUUGGGAUAACUCCCGGAAACGGGUGCUAAUACUGGAUAUUCACUGGUCUUCGCAUGGGGGUUUGUGGAAAGGGUUUUUCUGGUGGGGGAUGGGCUCGCGGCCUAUCAGCUUGUUGGUGGGGUGAUGGCCUACCAAGGCUUUGACGGGUAGCCGGCCUGAGAGGGUGACCGGUCACAUUGGGACUGAGAUACGGCCCAGACUCCUACGGGAGGCAGCAGUGGGGAAUAUUGCAGAAUGGGCGCAAGACUGAUGCAGCGACGCAGCGUGAGGGAUGGAGGCCUUCGGGUUGUGAACCUCUUUCGCUAAUGGUCAAGCCGCAACAAUGGUUGUGGUGAGGGUAGUGGGUAAAGAAGCGCCGGCUAACUACGUG
RNAcentral lists this ribosomal RNA (483 nucleotides) under uncultured bacterium. Its description in RNAcentral is "partial 16S ribosomal RNA". It matches the Rfam family "Bacterial small subunit ribosomal RNA", at positions 28 to 507 of the family's 1533-position model. The record is from RNAcentral.